Papaver somniferum (opium poppy) is the source of this 1385-nucleotide long non-coding RNA. RefSeq lists it as uncharacterized. NCBI's taxonomy places the organism in Eukaryota, Viridiplantae, Streptophyta, Magnoliopsida, Ranunculales, Papaveraceae. The transcript is spliced from 9 exons. The record is from RefSeq and is a predicted model, not a curated record.
CUCUCUCUCCCCCAAUUCCAAUCUCAUUUUCUCUUUCUUCUUCUGCUCUCCGUCUCCAUUUCACCUAAGGAACUAGCUCCAUGGAAGUGGAGAAAUCAGUAACCCAAGAUGCUAUUUCAACCAAACUAGUAAACCUUCUAUAGAUUCGUCUUCUGAAAUCCCUCAAAUCGCUAGUCGAGUUGUAGAUCUCAAAUCUGAUGGAAACAGAUUCAGCUUCAUUAUUUCUCUAUUCUUCUCAAAAUCGAAAUUGAAAAAAAUAAUCUGGUAUCAAAUUAGAUGUGAGAUGUGAUUUGAAUCUAAGGGGUUUCAUGAUUAGUGUGAUAUGUGAUUUGAAGCAAGGGUUUUUUUUCGUGUUUUUUGUCUUCAGUAAAUGGAUAAUGAGCUCCCAGAUCCAUAGGUCAGCAUCAAGAACUCUUAGACCACUUACCUCUUAUCUAAAAGCUCAUCUCUUUUCAGCGAGGUAGAGAAGGCAAUAGAAGAGUCAAGUUGGUGGUGGAUCUGAUGUUAUUGUCGAUGUUGUUCCUAAGGAGGGAUUAUGUGGUAGAGCAAGAUUAUAAAUAAGAACAAGAGUAUCUCUGAUGAAAUCAGGGUGGAGGUACCAAGGAUCAACUAUGGCAUGUACUUCUCAAGCAGUUGAUGUACUGAGAAAAGCUAAUUGCUCCAACAAAGGCUGAUGGAACUAGAGAGGUAUGUCAUUGAUGAGAGGUGGGGAUUGAGUAACAUAAAUAUUGGAUCAGCACCGCUCUGACUCAGGAUUUAAACUUGGGUCUACUGAACAUACAUCAGAAGCAAUAGUGAAGAAGUAUGGUGCCGUAAGGUUAACUUUUGAAGUUGAAGGCCUAAAUGUGCUGAGAACAACCCAGCAAAAAAAAAAGACAUUUGAUGGUCCAUCAUGCAAGGACUGGAGAGGUGGAAGGGAUGCUUCAUUCAGUAUCAUUCCUAGCAGCACUGUUGAGGGAAAAGUUGGUGUGCAUCAUUUGGAUGAGGUUCUGCGAGAGGAAACUUCAUCGUCAAAUGCCACAGAGGGGCAGGAGAUACACUCGGUCAAUUCGUUAAAUUUUUAUACGGCAACAUCCAAUUUUGUGAAUUGCCAUUCAUUGCUUGUGUCAAGAUAGUUGGAUUGCAGUUGAUGCCGACAUUGGAUAAACAUCUAAACAUCCUCAGUCAUCAGUAUGUUGGGAUGCUUGUGAAAGGUAAGAAGUAUAUCUUCAUCUCUUUCAGCCUACUGUUGAAAACAAGUUAACAUGAUACAAUCUCAAAGAGUUACUUUAUCAUUACCUUUAAACUGAGCAUUUUAAAUAUAAAACUAUGAUAUUAGAUGUCUACUUGGAUACAUUUCUUAAGCUUUGUUUCUCUCCCGCCCUGUAAACAAACUAAUGCAGUCU